Lytechinus variegatus (green sea urchin) is the source of this 1373-nucleotide long non-coding RNA. RefSeq lists it as uncharacterized. The record is from RefSeq and is a predicted model, not a curated record. The transcript is spliced from 4 exons. NCBI's taxonomy places the organism in Eukaryota, Metazoa, Echinodermata, Echinoidea, Temnopleuroida, Toxopneustidae.
CAUGGACGACGAUAAAUCAGCUUUGCACAAAAUGAAGAGGAGCGAAGCGCUUAAUAUCGAUAUUUGCCGAGCUGUGAGAACAUCUAAAUUUUUGAAUGGAUGAAAACAUCUUACAAGUUAACAUGCACAGGCUGUCCUGAGAGACUAUUAAAGGAGGAUUGUAAGAGAGGAAUAUGCCAACAAGAACUGCAAUGAGGAGUUGUUGACAGGAGGAAACUUUUUAAAAGAGACCACACACUACCUCAUCAACAUGCUUGAAGAUGAUCUGAGCCUGAAGAGGGACAAAGGGCCUAGUGAUAGACUACCUUUCUGCAAGUAUUGACAAUUCUGCUUUUGUAUGGUGAUAAUUUCAGGGAAUACGUGGUGAUGAGGCAUCAGUGUUGCAAUCAUCUGUUUGUGAGUGAUCAAAGAUGUUUCGCAAGCCAUAGCAAGAAAAAAGAGGUUUUGUGAGAACUUCAACAACCAGAGAUGAGAUUGAGACUACCCAACAACAACUGUGUGAGUGAUCGAUGGGACCCAUGUCUAUACAAGAAUUCCUGGAGGGAAACAAGCCUUGUACUUUCCUGAAGGGCAAGUCCACCCCAACAAAAAAUUCUUUGAUAUAAUACAGAAAAGUCCAAUGAGCAUAACACUAAACAUUUCAUCAAAAUUUGAUGUAAAAUGAGAAAGUGUUGACAUUUUGAAGUUUCGCUUAUUUUCACAAAACAGACAUCCUGGUCAGUAUGCAAAUGAGUGACAAAGUGACGUUCUCCACUCAGUGUUUCUUUUUGUAAUAUACUAGUAUCAUCUCAAAGUACAGGUGAGAUAUGGUUUGAUUUCUCCCUGAAACUUUUGUAAAAAGCCAUUGUGGCAACCUAUACUCAAUUCGAUGAAGGGUUUUCUCAUAAUUGUGAAUUCUGUAAAAAAUCAAGCAUUAUAAUAUAUUUCUACAGAAGAAAGAGGGAGUGUGUGACAUAGACUUGUUUGCAUAUCACCUGUUUUAUCACUUGAUUAAUUAAUUUCUUAUUUUACAUCCUAUUUUGAUGUUUUCCGUGUCAUGCAUGUUUUAUUUAGCUCUAUUCCAUUCACAUUACCUUUUUUUUUGCACAGUGGACUUGCUCGAGAACAGGUAUUUUUUUAAAUGUACAAGUAAGAAUUUCAUUAUUUAUUUGUGUCUUCUUUUUUAACACUUUUUUACAGGGGUGGGGGGGGGGGGGUUGAAUGAACCUCCCUUGAGAUCUCUGCCAAUGAUCACAUUAACGCCUUGAAAAUUGGUAUGAUAAUAGUGGGGGAUGUCAUGUGCAAUGCUGUUUGGUUAAUUUUUCCGAAAUCGUCAGAUCUUUAACAUUAAUUAAUUAUGCUAAUUUCUGCAUAAAUCAUACUUUUAUACCAUU